GGGGAGUUUCCACCAUGUGUCUCAUUAGAAAUGAGUUGAACGAACGUACCUAACAAAGUGGACUGAGUGUAAAUAUUUUAGAAGCAAAGGAAACUUUACAUCACAAGUGCCGAACUCCAGGCCUCGAGGGCCGGUGUCCGGCAGGUUUUAGAUAUCACCCUGGGUCAACACACCUGAAUCAAAUGAGUAGUUCAUUACCAGCCUCUGGAGAACUUCAAGACAUGUUGAGGAGGUAAUUUGGCCUUUUAAAUCAGCUGUGUUGGAUCAAGGACACAUCUAAAACCUGCAGGACACCAGCCCUCGACGCCUAGAGUUCGACACCUGUGCCUUACAUCAAAGUCUGUGAGAGACAAAGACAAAGAAGCUGCACUGAUGUCAUUUGUCCACGAGGUGGCAGUGUUGCACUUUUUACUUUUGUUUCCAUAGUCGUACACGUGACAUGAAAUGACGUUUUAUAACUGAGCCGUUUUUACUAAAACAAAAACAUGUUUUUGAACUGAAAUACAGAACAUAUUUGUGGUGAUUUGGUAUUUUUACUGCCACUUUUCCAUUUUCUUUUUUUCUUUUUUUUCCAUUAUUUUUAUUAUUAUUUUACCCUCACAUUGUGCUUACUAGUCUUACAUUUUGUUUUUUGUUCCCUCGCGGAGUUCUUGGAAAAGUUUGCCCUCAAAGGUGUACCACGAGUUUUCCUGUGAAUGCUCUCAAGGUACAAACUGUCCUUUGUGUGAGAGAGGAAGGUGAGUCAAGACUGUUUAUUUGUGUACCAGAUUUUGGCAUGACAAACACUGACCGGUGUGCUGCACAACGUCAGACACAAGUUACAACAUUAAAAAAGAAAAAGAAUAAAGAGCGCUGAAGAUUAAUAGGUGUGAUUAAUAUCAUCCAGGAAAGAUGGGCUUUAAAUUGGAGAUAACCUGAAAUCUCCAAUGAGAUGCCAGCACCAAAAGCUGCUGCUCACCUGACCUAAGCAGAUGUGUAAGAGCGAAGUUAGUCCAUUAAAGC
Long non-coding RNA from Astatotilapia calliptera (eastern happy), 1002 nucleotides. The record is from Ensembl. Lineage: Eukaryota; Metazoa; Chordata; Actinopteri; Cichliformes; Cichlidae.